This 613-nucleotide ribosomal RNA is filed under the name uncultured bacterium. RNAcentral describes it as "bacterial SSU rRNA". It matches the Rfam family "Bacterial small subunit ribosomal RNA", at positions 61 to 650 of the family's 1533-position model. The record is from RNAcentral.
GUCGAGCGAGAAAGCGGCCUUCGGGCCGUGAGUAAAGCGGCGAACGGGUGAGUAACACGUGGGUAAUCUGCCCAGGAGUGGAGAAUAACUCGGGGAAACUCGGGCUAAUACUGCAUGCGCUCCGGAGGCCUUGGCUGUCCGGAGGAAAGGUGGCCUCUACAUGUAAGCUGCCGCUCUUGGAGGAGCCCGCGUCCGAUUAGCUUGUUGGUGGGGUAACGGCCUACCAAGGCUGCGAUCGGUAGCCGGCCUGAGAGGGUGAUCGGCCACACUGGAACUGAGACACGGUCCAGACUCCUACGGGAGGCAGCAGUGGGGAAUAUUGCGCAAUGGGCGAAAGCCUGACGCAGCAACGCCGCGUGAAGGAUGAAGGCCUUCGGGUCGUAAACUUCUGUCAGGAGGGGAGAACGCUCGUGGGUUAAUACCCUGCGAGUCUGACGGUACCUCCACAGGAAGCCCCGGCUAACUCCGUGCCAGCAGCCGCGGUAAUACGGAGGGGGCAAGCGUUAUUCGGAAUUAUUGGGCGUAAAGGGCGCGUAGGCGGCUUGGUAAGUCGAAGGUGAAAUCCCACGGCUCAACCGUGGAACUGCCUUCGAAACUGCCUCGCUAGAGUCCG